UGGGUGUUCCUGUCCCCGUGUCCCCUGUCCCUGUCCCCACCCUGGUGCCAAAUCUCAAUGUCCCCAAACCGUGUCCUUGUCCCUGUCCCUGUGUGUGUGUCCCCAUCCCUCUGUCCCUGUCCCUGUGUCAAUCUCAAUGUCCCCAAACCGUGUCCCUGUCCCUGUCCCCAAACCCUGAUGGUGUCCCCAUGUCCUUGUCCCUGUGCCAGCGGCCUGGCCGGGCCUGAGGCCCUGUCCCCAUCCCUGUGUCCCUGUCCCUGUGUCCCUCUGUCCCUGUGUCCCUGUGUCCAUCCCUGUCCCCAUCCCUGUGUCCCUGUCCCUCAGUCCCUGUGUCCCUGUGUCCCUCUGUCCAUCCCUGUCCCCAUCCUGUUGUCCCUGUCCCUGUCCCCACCCUGGUGCCAAUCCCGAUGUCCCCGUGUAAAUCCCAAUGUCCCCAAACCGUGUCCUUGUCCCUGUCCCUGUCCCUCUGUCCCUGCUGUCCCUCUGUCCCUGCUGUCCCUCUGUCCAUCCCUGUCCCUGUCCCUCUGUCCCUGUCCCCACCCUGGUGCCAAUCCCGAUGUCCCCGUGUAAAUCCCAAUGUCCCCAGGCCCUGAUGGUGUCCCCGUGUCCUUGUCCCUGUGCCAGAGGCCUGGC
RNAcentral lists this long non-coding RNA (633 nucleotides) under Zonotrichia albicollis (white-throated sparrow). RNAcentral's name for it is "lncRNA (ENSZALG00000005077.1)". The record is from RNAcentral. Lineage: Eukaryota; Metazoa; Chordata; Aves; Passeriformes; Passerellidae.